This 253-nucleotide ribosomal RNA is filed under the name uncultured bacterium. RNAcentral's name for it is "partial 16S ribosomal RNA". It matches the Rfam family "Bacterial small subunit ribosomal RNA", at positions 524 to 776 of the family's 1533-position model. The record is from RNAcentral.
UACGUAGGGGGCAAGCGUUGUCCGGAAUCAUUGGGCGUAAAGCGCGCGUAGGCGGCCCGAUAAGUCCGCUGUAAAAGUCCAGGGCUCAACCCUGGAAAGCCGGUGGAUACUGUCGGGCUAGAGUCCGGAAGAGGCGAGUGGAAUUCCUGGUGUAGCGGUGAAAUGCGCAGAUAUCGGGAGGAACACCGGUGGCGAAGGCGGUUCUCUGGGCCUGUACUGACGCUGAGGAGCGAAAGCGUGGGGAGCAAACAGG